AAAAAGACAAACCCUAAAUUUCCGUGUCUAACUUUGACUGUCCGUCUUAUAUAAAAUUUUUUUAUAAUUCGUAUUUUCAUUAUUGUUAGAUGAUAAAACAUGAUUAAUAUUUUAUGUGUAACUUGUCUUUUUAAUUUUUUUUCAUAAUUUUUUCAAAUAAGACGGACGAUCAAACGUUGGGCACGGAAACCAGGGUUUGUCUUUUU
Molecule: non-coding RNA, 206 nt
Organism: Oryza glumipatula
Lineage: Eukaryota; Viridiplantae; Streptophyta; Magnoliopsida; Poales; Poaceae
Source: Rfam